RNAcentral lists this ribosomal RNA (917 nucleotides) under uncultured bacterium. Its description in RNAcentral is "bacterial SSU rRNA". It matches the Rfam family "Bacterial small subunit ribosomal RNA", at positions 10 to 917 of the family's 1533-position model. The record is from RNAcentral.
AGUUUGAUCCUGGCUCAGGAUGAACGCUAGCUACAGGCUUAACACAUGCAAGUCGAGGGGAAACGACAUCGAAAGCUUGCUUUUGAUGGGCGUCGACCGGCGCACGGGUGAGUAACGCGUAUCCAACCUGCCCACCACUUGGGGAUAACCUUGCGAAAGUAAGACUAAUACCCAAUGACGUCUCUAGAAGACAUCUGAAAGGGAUUAAAGAUUUAUCGGUGAUGGAUGGGGAUGCGUCUGAUUAGCUUGUUGGCGGGGUAACGGCCCACCAAGGCGACGAUCAGUAGGGGUUCUGAGAGGAAGGUCCCCCACAUUGGAACUGAGACACGGUCCAAACUCCUACGGGAGGCAGCAGUGAGGAAUAUUGGUCAAUGGACGAGAGUCUGAACCAGCCAAGUAGCGUGCAGGAAGACGGCCCUAUGGGUUGUAAACUGCUUUUAUAAGGGAAUAAAGUGAGUCUCGUGAGACUUUUUGCAUGUACCUUAUGAAUAAGGACCGGCUAAUUCCGUGCCAGCAGCCGCGGUAAUACGGAAGGUCCGGGCGUUAUCCGGAUUUAUUGGGUUUAAAGGGAGCGUAGGCCGGAGAUUAAGCGUGUUGUGAAAUGUAGACGCUCAACGUCUGCACUGCAGCGCGAACUGGUUUCCUUGAGUACGCACAAAGUGGGCGGAAUUCGUGGUGUAGCGGUGAAAUGCUUAGAUAUCACGAAGAACUCCGAUUGCGAAGGCAGCUCACUGGAGCGCAACUGACGCUGAAGCUCGAAAGUGCGGGUAUCGAACAGGAUUAGAUACCCUGGUAGUCCGCACGGUAAACGAUGGAUGCCCGCUGUUGGUCUGAAUAGGCCAGCGGCCAAGCGAAAGCAUUAAGCAUCCCACCUGGGGAGUACGCCGGCAACGGUGAAACUCAAAUGAAUUGACGGA